AAUAAAGCCGUAAACAAAAGUGCGGAAGGCGUCACCUACCGUGGUGAAGAGAGAGUCAAGGUGAAGUGUGGUGAGGGUGAAUGGUAGUGUGGUGAGGGUGAAUGGUGGUGUGGUGGAUGUGUAAAUGAAUGACAAAGAUUGUCGGGGCAGAAGCCUUUUAUACUCUUUUAGGGCCAACCAAUUGGGGAGUUGGAAAUUAAGGGGUGUGAAAUUGGAACCAGUGUUGCAUCAUUUAUUUCAAGACACAGUGUUUGUAAAUGAUAUUUUACAUUUAAUGAAUAAAAGUUUUUAUGGAUUAAAACACUCGAACUGUACUAAGCACACUCAACCAAACACAUUUGUCUAGUUUCCAAGUCAUUUGAAUGCUUAACUGGAAUAGAAAACCCAAAGACCCAUGACCUCGAGGUUGGGCUCUUUCAAAAGAGACCCUCCACGAGUUCCGGGGCCACUCGGUUCCCGAGAUAUGAAUUUUUAAAGUUUCAACAGGAAAAAAGACCAUAACUCUGGAACCCAUAAAGCUAUCCUAGCAGCGGUCUCGUUCGAACCGUCUAAUCGAGUUCUACACGCGGUUCAAAUUUCAGAACGGUCCGCUGCGUCUGAGAUAUUCGAUCAAAACGAUCCGGCGCUUUUCAAAAUGGCGGCCCCCAUAGAAAAGCGCUAUUCUCUGCCAACUUUUGCUCAUAACUCGGGAACGCAAAGCCCCAGAACGCUCAAACUUUGGUCAAAAACUCCCCUCUGCCCCACGACCUGAUCACAUCCGUCGCGGGCACCGGGGACGCCCCCUGGCGGAUCGUGGAUCCGCGGGGGUCCCGAACUUUUGCGGGCCAUAGCUCCCGAACCCGGCCGCCUAGGAACACCAAACUCGGGUCAGAGGAGCCUCUCCACGGGCCCCUUCCAACGCGCCCGGCCCAGAGACUCUAGCGCCCCGUGGGACGGAGCUACGGCCCUCCACAGAUUAGGGGGCCAUUCAGAACCGAUCCUCCCCGGGCCUCGGGACCAAGGCUGGCUGACAGCCCCCACCGGGACCCCUCAACACCCGAAAGCACGAGCCGCCACCACUUUCCCUUCCCGAGAUAUUAACACUUUUAUCCAAAACACCCUUAUAUUCAAAGGGCCCUAUCUCCCGAACCCAGUCGACUCUCGGCUCCAAACUCCGGCCGUACAGCCGGCCCAGAGGGACCCUACGUCAGGCACAGUCCCCACCUCCUGGGACCUUCCCUUUCCGAGAUACGGCCACUUCCUGUCCAGAUUUGACCGGCUCUAGCUCCCGAACCCGGGGGCCCCCGACCUUGGGGUUGGUCUUGUUCGACGGGGCACAUCGAGCCCUUUCCAGCAACACCCUCCCCGAGCCAAGGGGUCGUUGAGUUCCCGAGAUAUACGGCAAAAAUUCCAAACAUUUGACCGCCCGUAACUCCAGGACCCCGGGGCCCAGGACCUCGAGGUCGGACUCGUUCGAUAGAGGACCCCCGAGACCUUCCUUUGACCUUAUUUUCAGAAUUUUCCUCCACAGUGUUCCCGGGUGAUAUGAGCUGAAAACUCAAAGAUAUGCCCCUUUCCCAAUAAAACCCUAUAACUGUACUAAGCACACUCAGUCGGAUGCAUUCCAUUACCUUUUAAAGGCGGGCGUACACGGUGCGAAUUCUGAUGGUCGGAAGAUCGUAUGUCCACGCACACAACACGAGUGAGUUUAUCUGAAAAUCGCGUGGACGAGGUGAUAUACGACACGAUUUUUAGACCUGCCGAUUUCCGAAGCGAGAGAGAGAGAGAGCAUGCGAGCGGAGCGCGAGCUCAAAUCAGAAUACCCUUUGUGACAUGCUGGAUAGAAAAUAGGCACAUGUGAAAUCAUUUUAUUUUUCUCAUCGACUAGUUUUUCAAGCCAUUAGUUGACUAAUCACAUUGAUUAGUUGAUUAUUCACAUUCAAUUUCUUAAAUACUGGAGAGAAUAAACUAUUUUAAUUAGAAUUUAUAUAGCACUCAAGUGCACGCAUAGCUUGCCAUAAAGAAUCGGCAAAAGAAACGAUUAUGAAUUUGACAAAAAAACAGCAAGUAGAUAUUUUAAUUGUUUUUUAAUAAUAUAAUGUUUUCUAAAUCAGUGACGGCUGCAAAGAUGAAGUUGACAUUGCUGACUCUCAUCUCCACAGUGGAUGUGCAGAAUGCACAUUUCAUUUGGAUUAGGCCUACAUAAUCAGAGAGUAGCCCAUUUAUUUUCGUUUUGAAUUACUUCGUUUAAAAGAACACAUUUCAAGCUUUCUAUAGAUAGCCUAUUUUUCUCGUGUCUGUGAGGCAAACAGCCUAUAGUUUCAGUUCAUUUAGCCUAGUUGCGCUCCAGAUCAAGUGCAAGUGAUAGCGCUCGCGCAUCCAUGAAUAUAUUUGCUUCUUAUUUAUUAAAUCCAGGCAAUUGGUUGAUGAAACAUUGAUUAAAAUUAAGAUACAAUUUUUACAAAACGAAAUUCACGUUAAAGAAAGGCUUUCUACAAAACAAAACUUAAUGAAGUGAUUAAAAUCAUGUCUGACCCACUCCAUGUUUCCAGAUGUAGGCUAUUGCGCAUAUAUGAUGUAUUGUUCACUUGUCUUAAUCAAAUAGAUGAAAUUAAAAAAUAUAGGCAUAUUUAAACAUUAAUAUAAAACUAAAUAUAUUUUCUUUAAUGGCUACCAACACGUACAGUACAGUGAAAUUUCAUGUCGUGGUCAAGAGCGGAUCAUGAGUCAUAUCAAGCAUAAUUUAUUUUUUAACCUGAUAACUGUAGCUCUUGGGCGAUCCGCUGUAAAAUAUCAUCUCAGACGACCCUGUCAUGUAUAGCCUACACUGCUUGACACAUCAUACAGCGCUCGCCCAAAAUUCAGCGAGUUUAUUCUCCUUUUCAAAUUCACCAUGGCGCUGUCAUCUUCAUCUCUAUCUUCUUCUUCUGUGGUUUUUCUUAGCUCCUGAUUGGUUAACUUCAAAUAGAUUGAAAAAUCGGCUCGUUCAACCGCACACAUGUCACGAAUUCAAACCGAUAGCUCCCGAACUUUUUUGACAUGUUUAAAAAUAAUCGUGUGGUCGGGAAGUGCUCGUAAGGCACUCUGCUCGGCUCGUAAUUCCUCACACAUGAUACGAGCCGCGACCAUGCGAGCAUACACGAUUUCCACACGAUUUAAAAAAAUAGCAUGCGAAUUCGUCAACCCAGUCUCAUAUGAAAACGUAUCCUGACUACGUUGGUCCAAAGUGCAAAACGUAGAGGGGUUACAAUAAUGGCCCUUAAAUUGUAUGACUGUUACAAUUUUUUUUGCCUAUUGUUUUGCGUCCAAGUCACGUGACUUUAGAGAGCCCGGCCGUGAGAACAAAAAACAUGGCGGACGUUUCUCUACUUUUUAGUGAAAAAAACAAUAUUUUGAGUUAGUUUCUGCAUAAAAAUAAGGUUUGAUUACAUUUUUAGCGAGAAAUAUAUAUUCUAUUUUCAUAAUAUUCACUCAGUGAAUGUACAUAAUCACUCGCUUGCGCGUUGUUGCAAAGAUUUUUCUGAUCUCGCCAGAAUAAUGUGAAACUGCUACGUUUUGUUUGCUAUGAACAAUAUUUUGAGUUAGUUUCUGCAUAAAAAUAAGGUUUGAUUACAUUUUUAGCGAGAAAUAUAUAUUCUAUUUUCAUAAUAUUAGCGUCAAAAACUGACGCGAAUUUUAUUGGUAUGAAAUCACGCUGAAGAAGUCUCCUUCAGAACACAUCGCGAUAUUUGGCAUCAGUUCGCGUGUGCUGGAUGUUGGUAAGUAGUCGUAAAUACGCUGUUCUAAUGUUUGAUAUAAUGUCUUUUCUGUUUGCAGAUAUUAAUCAGAUUAACGUUAGCUCCCUCAUGUUCAGUCACUGCAUUAUAUCUGUCACCUCCGCUGAGGUUUUGCUUUUCAUUGCUUUCUAUAUUAAAUACUAAACUAGGGUGAUUAAACACUGUCACGUGACGUGCAAUAUAUUGCACAAUAUAAUAUAACAUAUUCAUAUCAGGUUCAAAGUAGUACAAGUGUAGUUUCAAAAUGGUAUUUGUUGUAGAAGCACGGUAAAAAAACAACACUUACCAUGCUUUUUACCACAGUAUUGGUAGUUUUAAUGUGAUUUUUGUUGUAAAUACAGAGUAACCACAACACUUAUCAUGCUUUUAAUGCCUAAUAAUGUUAAAUCCAAAAACUGUAAGGUCAAUAAGAACUUCUUUCCUAUAUAUAUUUAGGCUAUAUAUAAACCUAUAUAUUAUAAAUAAUGAUAUUUUCUUUUCUCUUGUUUUAGCUGAAAAGACAAAAAGGGCCUUUCGGAAAUGGAUGAAGGAGACAGAAAGCUGCAAAGGCAAAUAAUUGCAAUGGAUUACUUGCAGAUUACUUAGUCCUUCUUUUUAGGAUCUCUACAACAUCAAACUCAGCAGCUCUUUUAAGAGCCGACCCUCACAAGAGCUACUAGUGAGUCGCUGCAAAUCUGCCAUGAUCAGCCCUUUCCAGAGAAGGAAGACCAAUCCUUAUAUUAAAACAAGCUCAUCGAAGUCCUUUGUUUAGGGUGAGGAAGGAACAUGACCAUCUCAUGCCCAAAGAAGACAGAAGUCCAUUGAUAGCAAGUGAAGUCACUAACAGAAGAUCCUAGAGGAAAAACGACUGAUGUGCAGCUACGGAGGAACACAAGAGGCAGAAACUAUGCAUGGCCAUGGCUUCUUCAUGAGUAUGGUUAUCACUUGGUUUUUGACCAAAUUAUGCUCUUGAAACAAGAAACAGAAGAGUAUGUUGUCCUGAAAGAAAUCAAGGCUCAAAAGAGAGCAUGCCUUUCUAAAAGAUCUUUUAAAACAGGUUGCUGUUAAUAUGGGUAAAACAGUUUUUGUUCAGUACUUAGCUUACAGUCUGUGCUGCAUUUUUAUUAUAAUAUAUAUAUUAUGUACUGCUGUUUUGUAAAGUUAAAUCAGGAACAGGCAACUCUAGCCCUUUUGCUGUCUCCUUUUUGAGGUGGAGAGUUUACCUCCAACCAUAAUUGAGCACACCUGAAAAUUUUAUCCAAAGUCUUCAGGUGUACUUAUAGACAGUUAUAGGCAGUUGGGUUUGAGGUUGGAGCUAAAUCUGCAGGACCGUGGACGCUGAGGGCCAGAGUAGCCCACCACUGUUUAAAUCAUGCAGAACAUAAGCUGACCUGGCUGUCCAUUAAACUACUUAACUUGAAUUGUCUGUGUUUUUUUGUUUUACUUUUAGACCAGGACUGAAGAACGCCUGACAAUGGGAUGUUAAGACUUCUUCCUCUGGUUGAGAAAAAGCUACAGCACAUCAGUGAUCACAUCUUCUGGUCAUCAGUUGUACUGUAGAGUACAACUGAACAAACUGUUUAGAAGAAGAACAUGAACAUGAUAGAGACAUGUACAGGGAAGAGCAAGAACCCAGUUCAGCUGUGAUAAUGAAUCUUUAUUUUAAACUCAAUAUCAAAUCUGUUUUCUGGAUCAUAGUUGACUGGAUGGGAUUCUGUGGCGCUCAUUUGUGCAAUAGGAGUAAAGUCUGUGAAUGGAUUAUUAUGACGUUAACGUAUUUUUGAAGACACGUUUUUAUUUAUCUUGAAUCUCAUUUGUCUUUAUGCAAAUUUCAACCUUAUGCUGUAUCCUCCAAUAAGGUGUUGUGUAAUAAAUUAUGGUGAACGUGGUGUUUGGUAGAGUAAAUACAAUUUAACUAAGCUGAGUUUAUUUCAUAAUUUAAAAAAAUGACAUAAUUACCAUGAUUGUUUUACUUAAUACAUAAAUAUAUAUUACAUAAAUAUUUUUGAUCUAAUUCAUGAUAUUUGGGACAACAAUGCACCAAAAGUUGCAUAUACUUUAAUGUUGUGACAAGGAUGGCAGUUUCCAGAUAAAUAAAGGGAAGGAAUGUGAAUAAAGAGAGGCUGCAGUGGGUUAUACUGAUACAAACACUUCAAGCAGAGCUGAAGAAGAUCGAUGUUGAUCAUUCUGGUACAUCUACUACUGCAUUCAAAAUGACAGCUGGACAUUACUGAUGUCAGGCAUGUGAGGAGCAAGAAGAGGGGGUGAUAAUGACAUUUUGGCACAGUUUCUUAUUUUACUGAAUAGUGCAUUAUCCUUGUGUAACAGUAAUAGUGAAGUGUAAAUAUAAAUAGUUUUUAGUUUACUGCCAACACUGGCAGCUGGAUAAUGGCAAGUUGUUGUGGGUUCAUCCAUUAUAUUUAUUGGUGUUCAUACAAAAAAAAAGCAAAGAAAUAAUCAACUACUAUUCAAUUAAUCAAUUAUUAUUAUUAUUGUAUUACAACAUUUUGUUAUAAUAUUUCCAUAUUUCAUCAGAUGGUCUCACAAUACCCAUCAAAAACCUAUACAAGCAUGAUGUUAGAAUGGAAAAUGAGGAAAUGAUAAAAUACUCCAAUAAUUAAAUGUGAUUCAACAAAGUUUGUUAUCCAUGAUGAGGAGUACACACCUGUGUAGAUUUUAAUGCCCUUCCACCCCCAAGGGGCCAGUACCGGCCCCUGGAAGAGCAAAAAAAUGAACAUUUCAAAUGGCUGUAACUCAAAGUCCGGUUAGCGUAUCAAAGAGAAAAUCAACAGGACAACUGCUUAUGCUAUGAUUACUAAAUAAUGUUGAGCACAGUUUUCA
Megalobrama amblycephala (Wuchang bream) is the source of this 6575-nucleotide long non-coding RNA. RefSeq lists it as uncharacterized. Lineage: Eukaryota; Metazoa; Chordata; Actinopteri; Cypriniformes; Xenocyprididae. The record is from RefSeq and is a predicted model, not a curated record. The transcript has 5 exons.